RNAcentral lists this ribosomal RNA (253 nucleotides) under uncultured bacterium. Its description in RNAcentral is "partial 16S ribosomal RNA". It matches the Rfam family "Bacterial small subunit ribosomal RNA", at positions 524 to 776 of the family's 1533-position model. The record is from RNAcentral.
GACGGAGGGUGCAAGCGUUAUUCGGAAUCAUUGGGCGUAAAGAGCGUGUAGGCGGCCGGGCAAGUCAGAGGUGAAAGCCCAGGGCUCAACCCUGGAAGGGCCUUUGAAACUGCUUGGCUUGAGUCCGGGAGAGGGAAGCGGAAUUCCUGGUGUAGAGGUGAAAUUCGUAGAUAUCAGGAGGAACACCGGUGGCGAAGGCGGCUUCCUGGACCGACACUGACGCUGAGACGCGAAAGCGUGGGGAGCAAACAGG